AUGGAUGAGUUCACUUUCCCCACUGUCCCGGGCGGGCAGUGCAAGCUCGCGCCGUUCCCUCCGCCGUGGUUCGUCGCCGCCGUCGCGGAGGAGGAGGACGACGGCAGCAGCGGCUCGCCGAGGGGCCGCGACGAGAGGAUGGACAUGCUGUGGGAGGACUUCAACGAAGAGCUCGCGCGCGCGCCGCCGGUGUGCCCUCUCAGCCCCGUGAGCAAGGGGGGCGGGCUGAUGGCGAUGACGAUGAUGAAGGAGGCCGAGUGGUUCUACAGCGACGGCGACGGCGAGGGCGACGACGGCGGUGUGGUCGAGGCGAGGAAGCGUAGUGGCAGUGGCAGGCACAUGGUGGUCCGGCGCCGGAGGUGGAGCCUGCUGCUGAUGUUCAGGCUGCUCAAGAAGCUCUUCCUGGUCAAGAAAUCCAGGAGCGGAAGAACCGCGUCAAUCUGA
Molecule: ribosomal RNA, 444 nt
Filed under: Triticum aestivum (bread wheat)
Lineage: Eukaryota; Viridiplantae; Streptophyta; Magnoliopsida; Poales; Poaceae
Description: partial small subunit ribosomal RNA
Source: RNAcentral